Molecule: long non-coding RNA, 1221 nt
Organism: Anolis carolinensis (green anole)
Lineage: Eukaryota; Metazoa; Chordata; Lepidosauria; Squamata; Anolidae
Exons: 3
Source: RefSeq, a predicted model, not a curated record
UUGGGAAAACCUAUUAACAGGGGGAAUAUCAGAAGAUGGGGACUUGGAAGGAGAGCUAUAAAGGAACUAGAAAAAGUCUUGAACCAAGGCUACAUUUUAAGGAGCCCUAUUUCUAACACAUAUGCAUGAACAGAUAUUUUCUCUUUCUCUUUUUUCUACACAGAGUCUUACAGAGAGAGCUGGUAUUUUUCUUGUCUGUGCAAUCUACUAAGAACUACGAUUUUGCAAGGAUACAAGUUUUAAUGACAAAGAGAACUUUCGGGAUAAAAUAAUACAAAAUGAGAAGAAAGAGAUUACAAAAAUGUAUGACAUUUUGUUAGAGUGGUUCACAGAAACGGAAGAAGUCAAAAAUUGCUCAAUAAAAUGGGCAAGAAAUAUUGGAUGCCCAAUCAGAUUUGCAGAAUGGGAAUUGAUCUGGAAUAAAAAAAUUUAAAUAUACUUAUGCUUCAGAUGUCCAGGAAAACUGGUUCAAGAUGUUUCACCGCUGGCACAUAACACCAAAGAAAUUAGGAAUAAUGUAUAAAAAUACCCAAAACAAAUGUUGGAAAAGUAAGAAACAAGAGGUGACCUAUUACCACGCUUGGUGGACCUGUUUAGAAACAACAAAAUUUUGGAAGAAGAUACAUAAGGAAGCUCAAAAAAUACUGAAAAAAACAUUCCCAAUUAAGACAGAAUAUUAUCUGCUAGGAUUAACAGAAAAUAUAUCAAAUUUUAAUGAGAAUGAAGAUAUUAUCUUUACCAAUAUAGCCACAGCGGCAAGGAUAACCAUUGCUAGAUAUUGGGAAUUGGAAGAUAUUCCAACAAAAGAACUUUGGUUAGACAAACUAGAUGAAAUCCAUGAUAUGGACAGAUUAACCUAUUUAAUGAAAGAAAAUAGAGGAAAACCAUUAAAAAUGUCAGAAUGGAAAAUAUAUGAAGAAUAUAGAAAGAAUGCAAAGGUUUAGUCAACAAAAAGGAGUACCCGAGAAAAGAAAACAAGAUGGAGACCAGAAAACAAGAGAAGUUAAAUACUAACCGAUGGGAAAACAGUGAAGAGUAAAAAAACGGAAGACCAAAAAGACUUUUACUCCAAAUACCCUAACUUUUUAUCUUACCUCAUUCUCCAUCCCCAAUACCCCUUUUCUCCCCCCUUUAACAUUUACCUCACACUUUGUUCCAUUUACCUUUUAACUAUGUAUCUCAUUUAAGAAACUUGAAUAAAAAUUUAUUUUAAAAAAAGAA